This 618-nucleotide long non-coding RNA is filed under the name Rattus norvegicus (Norway rat). RNAcentral describes it as "long non-coding RNA NONRATT008956". The record is from RNAcentral. Lineage: Eukaryota; Metazoa; Chordata; Mammalia; Rodentia; Muridae.
AGGGGCUCCCUGAGCUACGCUGCAGCCUGAGCGCCUGGGGCAGCACGAAGCAGCAGCUCGUGCCGUGCACUCUCCCCUCCAAGACCGCUAGGGCCUCUGCCCCGGAGCCCAGCAACUCUCGGCCGUAGUCCACGCACGCAUCUCCCAAGACCCCUUUGCCUCACCUGCGCCUGCCACGCCCCGUCCUGCCGCCGGGAUGAGCGAGAGCAGAGUCCACACCUUUGAGCUGCAGGGAAAACAAGAGCAUUCGCUUAGGAACUGGCACCUACUGGCAAGUGAGGGAAUGGAACAUUGGAAUACAUCAGGCCCAGAGGAGGGAGUGGAUGAAAGGAAUACAAGAAGCUUAACACCAAAACACCUCCAGCAACCAGCCAGGCCUCUGACCCUGAGGAAAAAGGGAAACCUGGCAGCAUUAAGAAGGCCGAGGAGGAGGAAGAAAUUGACAUCGACUUGACGGCACCAGAGACAGAGAAGGCCGCCCUUGCAAUCCAGGGCAAGUUCCGGCGCUUCCAGAAGAGGAAAAAGGAUUCCAGUUCCUGAAUAACCAGACUUCCCCUUCACCCUUCUACUUCCUCUGUCCCCUCCACAGCUCUGACUCUCACGUGUCUCAUCCCCUCA